CAGUCGCCACGGUAACACCAGCAGCCAAGUGGUGGUCGCGAUUAUUGGGCCUAAAGCGCUCGUAGCCGGGCCGGUAAGUCCCUUGUGAAAUCGGACGGCCUAACCGUUCGGCGUGCAAGGGAUACUGUCGGUCUUGAGGCCGGGAGACGUCCGAGGUACUCCGGGGGUAGCGGUGAAAUGUUCUGAUCCUCGGGGGACCACCGGUGGCGAAGGCGUUCGACGAGAACGGGCCUGACGGUGAGGGGCGAAGGCUAGGGGAGCAAACGGGAUUAGAUACCCCCGUAGUCCCUGUCUCUUAUAC
RNAcentral lists this ribosomal RNA (301 nucleotides) under uncultured bacterium. RNAcentral describes it as "partial 16S ribosomal RNA". It matches the Rfam family "Archaeal small subunit ribosomal RNA", at positions 459 to 760 of the family's 1478-position model. The record is from RNAcentral.